This 440-nucleotide ribosomal RNA is filed under the name uncultured bacterium. RNAcentral describes it as "partial 16S ribosomal RNA". It matches the Rfam family "Bacterial small subunit ribosomal RNA", at positions 338 to 795 of the family's 1533-position model. The record is from RNAcentral.
CCUACGGGAGACAGCAGUGGGGAAUAUUGCACAAUGGGGGAAACCCUGAUGCAGCGACGCCGCGUGAGUGAAGAAGUAUUUCGGUAUGUAAAGCUCUAUCAGCAGGGAAGAAAAUGACGGUACCUGCUUAAGAAGCCCCGGCUAACUACGUGCCAGCAGCCGCGGUAAUACGUAGGGGGCAAGCGUUAUCCGGAUUUACUGGGGGGAAAGGGAGCGUAGACGGCAGCAGAAGUCUGGAGUGAAAUGCCGGGGCUGAACCCCGGAACUGCUUUGGAAACUGUGCAGCUAUAGUGCAGGAGAGGUAAGUGGAAUUCCUAGUGUAGCGGUGAAAUGCGUAGAUAUUAGGAGGAACACCAGGGGCGAAGGCGGCUUACUGGACUGUAACUGACGUUGAGGCUCGAAAGCGUGGGUAUCGAACAGGAUUAGAUACCCGUGUAGUC